Long non-coding RNA from Notolabrus celidotus (New Zealand spotty), 791 nucleotides. RefSeq lists it as uncharacterized. NCBI's taxonomy places the organism in Eukaryota, Metazoa, Chordata, Actinopteri, Labriformes, Labridae. The record is from RefSeq and is a predicted model, not a curated record. The transcript has 3 exons.
GUGCUGCUGCCUGUGAAAUGGUUCUGUUCUACAAAGAUAUCCUCAUUCUAGUGAGUUUACUGGAGAAGAUUAUCAUCCCAGGGAGAUGAUUCGCAGCAGUGUCUGUGUUGUGUCUGAAAUUGGCUAAAUUUCACCGAGUCUGGGAGGGGGAUCUGUGAGAGGCAAUCGAUUUAAAAUUGCCACCGAGCGGGGAGAGUGCAAUUGAUGUCAAGGCUGCUCAGAAAUGAGUUUUCUUGGCUUUCCGAUUGAAAUGACGUGGAGCCAUUGUGACUGGAGGCAGAGUGGAGCCGGGCAAGGACCUAUUAUCGAGUACCCCAAGCCUGAGCAGAGCAGUUCAGAUACAGAAUCUGUGCCCUCUCCCCCCACCCUGCCCUCCCCAAACAUUGCCAGAGUGGGUCAGAGCAUCUGCUUUCCAGAGGUCUCUUCACUGGAGACAGCCAAUUAGAAUGCUCUCUCUUUGCAUGGUCUGCAGGGAGCUGGAGGAGGCACCCAGCCGCACCUGUCAAUAUUUACUGUUCUAACAAAAUACAUCAUUCAUUGCCAUCUGCUCUCCGGCAGCACGCGUAGGGGCGCUGCUGCUGCAAAAUUAAUAGCACUUCUAAUGCUCCUUUCCUAAUGGGCUUAAUCAAUUAAUCAGCCAUUCGCAAUCUGGAGGCACCAUUAACCAGUGCAUAGAUCCCUAAUGCUGUCAAAAGAUAUGAGUUUGCUCCACCGCAGUAACAAACUCAAAAUGAACGCGUGCCUUUUCUGCGGCUGCUUCAGGUACGUAACUGUAUCUCUGCAUAAACAUG